Molecule: transfer RNA, 83 nt
Filed under: Schistocephalus solidus
Lineage: Eukaryota; Metazoa; Platyhelminthes; Cestoda; Diphyllobothriidea; Diphyllobothriidae
Rfam family: tRNA
About the family: Transfer RNA (tRNA) molecules are approximately 80 nucleotides in length.
Source: Rfam by way of RNAcentral
GGCCUCGUAGCUCAGUUGGCUAGAGCGUUGGCUGUACUAAAGCCUUCCCCUUGCUGGCGUGUGAUCGAUUCCCACCGAGGCCA